Non-coding RNA from Paramuricea clavata, 359 nucleotides. The record is from the annotation of a GenBank genome assembly. Lineage: Eukaryota; Metazoa; Cnidaria; Anthozoa; Malacalcyonacea; Plexauridae.
CUCGUUAUAAAAAAACAGGAUUAUGUGAAGGUAUUCCCAUGGUACAACACGAUUUAUUUCUACCUAAUCACAACAUGGUACCAAAAGCGGACAAUUAGGUAUGUCGACGUUGUAUGCUUCAAACUUCACCGAUGAUUUGGAAUCAGUAUUGUUCGCAGAGCUAGCGUAUGCUUAAAAUUUGGCACAUUUGUUUAAGCGGGUCCUCAAGGUUAAACCAGCUAAAUCCAUAUCUUGUUCCAACUGACAGAUUAGCAGAGUUCUUGCUUUAAAUUACUUUGGGAGACCGAAAAACAAACAUAGGAAAAACAACUUGGUGGGUAAGUACCGCAUUUGCGCGGAUAAUUCCACGCAAUGAUGAG